RNAcentral lists this ribosomal RNA (444 nucleotides) under uncultured soil bacterium. RNAcentral's name for it is "bacterial SSU rRNA". It matches the Rfam family "Bacterial small subunit ribosomal RNA", at positions 27 to 518 of the family's 1533-position model. The record is from RNAcentral.
GGAACGAACGCUGGCGGCAUGCCUAACACAUGCAAGUCGAACGAGACCUUCGGGUCUAGUGGCGCACGGGUGCGUAACGCGUGGGAACCUGCCUUGAGGUUCGGAAUAACUUCCCGAAAGGGAUGCUAAUACCGGAUGAUGUCUUCGGACCAAAGAUUUAUCGCCUUUAGAUGGGCCCGCGUUGGAUUAGCUAGUUGGUGGGGUAAAGCUUACCAAGGCGACGAUCCAUAGCUGGUCUGAGAGGAUGAUCAGCCACACUGGGACUGAGACACGGCCCAGACUCCUACGGGAGGCAGCAGUGGGGAAUAUUGGACAAUGGGCGAAGGCCUGGAUCCAGCAAUGCCGCGUGAGUGAUGAAGGCCUUAGGGUGUAAAGCUCUUUACUGGGAUGGAUAAUGACAGUACCCAGAGAAUAAGCUCCGGCUAACUCCGUGCCAGCAGCCGC